AGUAACACGUGAGUAACCUGCCUUACACAAGGGGAUAGCCGUUGGAAACGACGAAUAAUACCCUAUGAAACUAUCACUUCGCAUGAAGCGAUAGUCAAAGUGUUAGCGGUGUAAGAUGGACUUGCGUCUGAUUAGCUAGUUGGUGAGAAAAAGCCCACCAAGGCAACGAUCAGUAGUCGGCUUGAGAGAGUGUACGGCCACAUUGGGACUGAGACACGGCCCAG
RNAcentral lists this ribosomal RNA (224 nucleotides) under uncultured Eubacteriales bacterium. RNAcentral describes it as "uncultured Clostridiales bacterium partial 16S ribosomal RNA". It matches the Rfam family "Bacterial small subunit ribosomal RNA", at positions 109 to 334 of the family's 1533-position model. Lineage: Bacteria; Bacillati; Bacillota; Clostridia; Eubacteriales. The record is from RNAcentral.